Molecule: ribosomal RNA, 706 nt
Filed under: uncultured bacterium
Lineage: Bacteria
Description: bacterial SSU rRNA
Rfam family: Bacterial small subunit ribosomal RNA
Source: RNAcentral
CACGCCGUAAACGAUGACAACUAGCUGUUGGGAGACAAGAUCUCUCAGUGGCGCAGCUAACGCUUUAAGUUGUCCGCCUGGGGAGUACGGCCGCAAGGUUAAAACUCAAAUGAAUUGACGGGGACCCGCACAAGCGGUGGAGCAUGUGGUUUAAUUCGAUGCAACGCGAAAAACCUUACCUACUCUUGACAUACUUGGAAGCUCUUGUAAUGAGAGUGUGCUUUUAGAGCCAAGAUACAGGUGCUGCAUGGCUGUCGUCAGCUCGUGUCGUGAGAUGUUGGGUUAAGUCCCAUAACGAGCGCAACCCUUACCCUUAUUUGCCAGCGGUUCGGCCGGGAACUAUAAGGGGACUGCCGGUGACAAACCGGAGGAAGGUGAGGACGACGUCAAGUCAUCAUGGCCCUUACGAGUAGGGCUACACACGUGCUACAAUGGGGAAUACAGACGGACGCUAAAGCGUGAGCUGGUGCCAAUCCUAAAAAAUUUCUCGUAGUCCGGAUUGCAGUCUGCAACUCGACUGCAUGAAGUCGGAAUCGCUAGUAAUCGCGAAUCAGCAUGUCGCGGUGAAUACGUUCUCGGGUCUUGUACACACCGCCCGUCACACCAUGGAAGUGUGUUGCACCAGAAGUAGGUAGUCUAACCUUCGGGAAGGCGCUUACCACGGUGUGAUCCAUGACUGGGGUGAAGUCGUAACAAGGUAACCGUA